Salvia splendens (bonfire salvia) is the source of this 1501-nucleotide RNA transcript. RefSeq lists it as uncharacterized. The record is from RefSeq and is a predicted model, not a curated record. The transcript is spliced from 6 exons. NCBI's taxonomy places the organism in Eukaryota, Viridiplantae, Streptophyta, Magnoliopsida, Lamiales, Lamiaceae.
AAAUUCAAUUUCAUAAAUAUUUUUUUGGUUAAAUGUAAGAACGGUUAAAAACUAACUACUUUUCAAUCAAUUCGAUCAUUUUUCAUCUUUUCUCCUUUCCUCUGUUUCUUCCAAAAAACAAUUUUUCGGCGAUGGAUAUUGCAGAGAAAGAGGAAUAAGGCUUAAAUUGGGCUUUGUGUAGGGUUUUAGAGAGAAGGAGGGAAUCAAUUACCGAAGAAACAGCGAUGGCCACAUAUACUAAAUCGAGUAAUUUAUCGAAACUGAAGCCCGGAGUUGGAGAUGGCCCUUCUUCUUCAAAACCCAGAAUCGAUUCAUCUGCAUCAAAAAAGAAAAUUAUUGGGGGAUCAAUCAGGAAUUCUGCAGCUGAUUCCAAAAAUAGAUCCAUUUUCAGCUCUGGCUCUAAAAUGAUGAAGAAAACGUCUACUCAAACGAAAGAUGAUAAAAAAACUGUGAGUAGAACCAGAGAGAAGAAAGUGUAUUCUUUGGCUGGCCAGAAAUUUGAUGUUCCUGAAGAGCGGGAGCCAUUGAGAAUAUUUUACGAAUCGUUGUCUAAGCAGAUUCCUUCUAGUGAAAUGGCUGAGUUUUGGUUGAUGGAACACGGCAUGCUGUCACCUGAGAGGGCAAGAAAAGCUCAUGAGAAGAAGCAGAGGAAGCAAAAGCAGCUACGUUCGGGCACUCCCAUAAAAUCUCCACCGCCCUCCACAUCAAGUAGACCUGAUAGCUCCAAGAAGCCUCAGCUAGUUCCCAAGAAUGGUGACGUAAAAGCAAAGAAGCGGAUAAUGGAAGACAGCGACGAUGAUGAUGAUUUCGUGCUAAGCCACAAGAGGAGAAAAACUUAAGCAAACCAUACUAAAAAAACCAUCAGUUUGUACUUUGUGUACAACAAUUACAGCUCCAGCCUCCAGCCUGAUUUGUCUUAUUGGUCUAUAAAUGCUCGUUGCCAAGGCCGAGGAUAGCCUCUGCCACGGAGAUGCUGCAACGUGACCGUGUUAUGGAACAUCAACAGAGGGAAAAAAUCAUUAAAAACCUCCCCAAAUGUUAAAGGAAGCUAAGAGAAAGAUGCAGAAGAAGCAUGAUCCAGUUUGCAUUGGGUGGAUGGAUUUGUUGUUGCCUGAAUUGGAGAGUGGAGUUUGGCAGCUCAUUGAUUGGAGAGAGAGGGAGAGUUGAUGGAUGGUGAGCAUUGAAGUGUAGGGGCCAUCACUGUUUAAGCAAUAGAUGGAAUAGGACAAACCACAGCUUUCUCUGAUGUGGCAACACACACUGAGGGUGAGAUUUUGACAUGAUAAAAGUGAAACAUUUGAUCUCAAACCAACAGCAUUAGGAAAAAACUUUCAUCCCUUAUCCACAAUUGAAUUUAUAUCCAUUUUCCAUACAAUUAAUUUUGCACGCUUUAGUGUAACAGUGUUUUGUGUUGUAAUUUUGUCAUAUUUGGGGAAAAAAUGUCGUGUGCAUUUAUUACUAUCCGUGAUUAAUUAAAAGAGGGAACAUCUUUUUAGGUCCA